UACGGAGGGUCCAAGCGUUAUCCGGAUUUAUUGGGUUUAAAGGGUGCGCAGGCGGGAGAUUAAGUCGGCGGUGAAAUUUUGCAGCUCAACUGUAAAAGUGCCUUCGAAACUGGUUUCCUUGAGUGUAGAUGAAGUAGGCGGAAUUUGUGGUGUAGCGGUGAAAUGCAUAGAUAUCACGAGGAACUCCGAUUGCGCAGGCAGCUUACUAAACUACUACUGACGCUCAGGCACGAAGGCGUGGGGAUCAAACAGGAUUAGAUACCCUGGUAGU
RNAcentral lists this ribosomal RNA (271 nucleotides) under uncultured prokaryote. Its description in RNAcentral is "partial 16S ribosomal RNA". It matches the Rfam family "Bacterial small subunit ribosomal RNA", at positions 524 to 794 of the family's 1533-position model. The record is from RNAcentral.